Long non-coding RNA from Paramisgurnus dabryanus, 341 nucleotides. RefSeq lists it as uncharacterized. Lineage: Eukaryota; Metazoa; Chordata; Actinopteri; Cypriniformes; Cobitidae. The record is from RefSeq and is a predicted model, not a curated record.
AAGAGAGUUUCUCGGGUCACGCACAGUGCACCUGUAUACCUGAUCGACCUGAAAAUUAUUCAAAUAAUUUUAAUAAUUUCAAUAAUUUCAAUAAUUUAAAUAUGAACUUUGCAGUCCUGAUGUCUUUCAAAAUAAACUACCAGUAUUCAGAAGAUUUAAACUUGAUCAGCAUUGCCGGCUGUUCUCUUUCUAUAUUGGGUCUUGCUGUCACAGCAGUUUACCAAAUUGCAACCAGGAAGUCAAGGGGAUGCAGCCCGACUCUGCUUUUGGUGAACAUCUGCUUGAGCAUGAUGAUUUUCUACCUUCUCUUCAUCUUUGGCAUAAACAACCCAGUCAAACAU